Molecule: ribosomal RNA, 427 nt
Filed under: uncultured bacterium
Lineage: Bacteria
Description: partial 16S ribosomal RNA
Rfam family: Bacterial small subunit ribosomal RNA
Source: RNAcentral
UGGGGAAUAUUGGACAAUGGGCGAAAGCCUGAUCCAGCCAUGCCGCGUGUGUGAAGAAGGUCUUCGGAUUGUAAAGCACUUUAAGUUGGGAGGAAGGGCAUUAACCUAAUACGUUAGUGCUUUGACGUUACCGACAGAAUAAGCACCGGCUAACUCUGUGCCAGCAGCCGCGGUAAUCCAGAGGGUGCAAGCGUUAAUCGGAAUGACUGGGCGUAAAGCGCGCGUAGGUGGUUUGUUAAGUUGGAUGUGAAAUCCCCGGGCUCAACCUGGGAACUGCAUUCAAAACUGACUGACUAGAGUAUGGUAGAGGGUGGUGGAAUUUCCUGUGUAGCGGUGAAAUGCGUAGAUAUAGGAAGGAACACCAGUGGCGAAGGCGACCACCUGGACUAAUACUGACACUGAGGUGCGAAAGCGUGGGGAGCAAACA